UAGGGAAUCUUCGGCAAUGGACGGAAGUCUGACCGAGCAACGCCGCGUGAGUGAAGAAGGUUUUCGGAUCGUAAAGCUCUGUUGUAAGAGAAGAACGAGUGUGAGAGUGGAAAGUUCACACUGUGACGGUAUCUUACCAGAAAGGGACGGCUAACUACGUGCCAGCAGCCGCGGUAAUACGUAGGUCCCGAGCGUUGUCCGGAUUUAUUGGGCGUAAAGCGAGCGCAGGCGGUUAGAUAAGUCUGAAGUUAAAGGCUGUGGCUUAACCAUAGUAGGCUUUGGAAACUGUUUAACUUGAGUGCAAGAGGGGAGAGUGGAAUUCCAUGUGUAGCGGUGAAAUGCGUAGAUAUAUGGAGGAACACCGGUGGCGAAAGCGGCUCUCUGGCUUGUAACUGACGCUGAGGCUCGAAAGCGUGGGGAGCAAACAGGAUUAGAUACCCUGGUAGUCCACGCCGUAAACGAUGUCGACUAGCCGUUGGGAUCCUUGAGAUCUUAGUGGCGCAGCUAACGCGAUAAGUCGACCGCCUGGGGAGUACGGCCGCAAGGUUG
Molecule: ribosomal RNA, 549 nt
Filed under: uncultured bacterium
Lineage: Bacteria
Description: bacterial SSU rRNA
Rfam family: Bacterial small subunit ribosomal RNA
Source: RNAcentral